CGAACGGGUGAGUAACGCGUGAGGAACCUGCCUCAAAGAGGGGGACAACAGUUGGAAACGACUGCUAAUACCGCAUAAGCCCACGGGUCGGCAUCGACCAGAGGGAAAAGGAGCAAUCCGCUUUGAGAUGGCCUCGCGUCCGAUUAGCUAGUUGGUGAGGUAACGGCCCACCAAGGCAACGAUCGGUAGCCGGACUGAGAGGUUGAACGGCCACAUUGGGACUGAGACACGGCCCAGACUCCUACGGGAGGCAGCAGUGGGGAAUAUUGCACAAUGGGGGAAACCCUGAUGCAGCGACGCCGCGUGGAGGAAGAAGGUCUUCGGAUUGUAAACUCCUGUUGUUGAGGAAGAUAAUGACGGUACUCAACAAGGAAGUGACGGCUAACUACGUGCCAGCAGCCGCGGUAAAACGUAGGUCACAAGCGUUGUCCGGAAUUACUGGGUGUAAAGGGAGCGCAGGCGGGAAGACAAGUUGGAAGUGAAAUCUAUGGGCCCAACCCAUAAACUGCUUUCAAAACUGUUUUUCUUGAGUAG
RNAcentral lists this ribosomal RNA (534 nucleotides) under uncultured Lachnospiraceae bacterium. RNAcentral describes it as "bacterial SSU rRNA". It matches the Rfam family "Bacterial small subunit ribosomal RNA", at positions 99 to 649 of the family's 1533-position model. Lineage: Bacteria; Bacillati; Bacillota; Clostridia; Lachnospirales; Lachnospiraceae. The record is from RNAcentral.